CUCAACAGGAAGUGCACCGACAUGUCUGAGCCUAAGUCUCGGGACUGGAGGACACGUCUUCUUCAGCCUGAAUGCAUGACCAGCAGAGAAAUGCAUCCAGUCAGAGGCAAUGGACCCUAAUUCAUCAACAAAAGGUGGCUUGGUCCCUCCUAUGUUCAGUGGCGGGGCAUCCUGAUUCAUCCAUUACUUCAUCUCCUAUUAGUUAGUGCUUUAUUCCAGAUGGGAAAGAAGAAUAAGAAGUGAAGAGAUAUGCAGGCACUCUCUCAUCCAUGCUGGAACACCAGGCACACAGCUAGCAGGGGGAAUGGCAGUUCCCUGCUGCAUUUUCAUUCUGUGGUUUAAACCCGGGACAGGGCAUCCACAAGUCCUGGGAUAUGGGAAGGUUUAGAUGGUUUGGGAGGAUUUGAAAUUCAUUUGCAUGGGAAAGUCUGUUCGGUGUUAGAGUUCUGACUUCCCUCUGUUUGGAGUCAGGCGCGGGGGGUAUCUCACAUCUCACUCCCUAUCUGCUCAUUGAUUUGGGAACUUCCUUUGCCCCUAUUUAAUGUCAGAAAUAAGGUUUCUGCUAGCCAUACUUCAGGCAAGCCCUUACCCUUUUUCCCUUUUGAGCUUAAUAAUCUGCCUUCCUUCUGGCUUUUUGGCUACAUGGGGCUUCUCCUGCACUAUUUCUUUCCUUGCUGUAGGACCUCUCUGAUCCCUAUUUAAUUCUGGGAUACUUGGGUAAUCUAUUUCAGAUUCUAGGGGCCUUUUCUGGACCUCUUUUAAUUUUACUGGCAUGGCUUCAGCCCUGCUACCUUCGAGCAGCUCUCAUUCGAGAUCUGUGGGUGCUAUUCCAUCCUUUUGGACCUCGGGACCUUCCCCAGCUUUCUGCUCUUCUGCAGUUUUCUGCUGCUUUGUCUUGGCCUCUUUUCUUUUGCUGGCUAGCACCUGGCUGCCAGCCAAAUCAUUCCCGAGGAGGAAAUUCCUGCUGGUAGUAGUUUAGGGACAAUUCCUACUGUAACAGCGUCUGAAACAGGGUCACACUCUAGGUGGACCUUAUGGGGGGUGCAAACACAGAUCAUCCUCCCACUCCACUGAUCAGGGCUUUGGCCUUCAGGGAAGACUUGAAGGUUAAGUUUAAGUUUCCCUCCAACAUUAAGGUUUGAGUAGCUUCUGUGUCCUGGAGUACCACGGACUUGCUCACAUUUUCGGUUGGAUCGAGGGACACUGUUCAUGAAAGGACAAAACUCUGGAAGCUCUUUAGGACUUUGUCCGGCUCAGACACACAUUGUGCUAUUCUCUCUGAGGGGCAUGCUUCUGUAGCCAGUGGCCCUGCCUGCUGUGCUGCACUACCCAUUGGUGGACUACUCAUGUGAAGCCCUACUAGGCCAACUGGUUUGCCUCGCAAUCUCCAGUAUUCAGGUCUGGAAUGGCAUAUUUUGUUGAACUGAGAAUACACUGACCUCUGGGCAUUCUCCUUUCGGGUUGUAGGAGGGCUUCUUGCGCACUCUUUUGUGUUUUUAUUUCUGUGUGGAGCACCUUUCCUAUCCAUGUUGUCCUGUUUAUCUUUCCAAUGCUCAUGGGUAUGGUUUGGGAAAGGGUCUGCCUGAAUUUACGGGCCUAUGGGUGAGAUCUUAGCUGUCUGCUGUGAAUGGCUGCAUCCCUAGCUGUGAGGAUUCUCUGCUCCCCUAAGUGCAUUCACAGGUUGGAGGAUAGGCAAUUGUUAAGUUCCUCCAAAAGUACUAGUUCACGCAACCCCUUAUAGGUGCAUGGGAUUCUUAAGGAUCUUACCCAUCGAUUGAACGCAAUUUACUUCAAGUGUUCGGACUCGAUGUAGGUUUGUGUGGGCUUCUUACGAGCAUUCCAGAUUUGUUGGUGAUAUGCCUCCAGGACUAUCUCACAGGCACUUAGGAUGGCCACCUUGGUCUGCUCAUAAUUCAGGGAUACAUUUGUAGGCAGCAUGGAGUAGACCUCUUGGGUUCUCCCACACAGCUGCCCUUUAAUUAAAAAUGCCCAGAUAUCUGAGGACCAUUUCAGCUGUCCUGCUAUUUUCUCAAAUGUGGUAAAACUAACUCCACAUCACUCUCUUAAAAUUUGGGAAGGAAUCUCGCAUACUUGAGGGCCUCAGAGAGUGGUUUUGGGUUAGGGGGAUCUCUGGGUAGAGAGAGAUUUUCCCAUGCCAAUUCCAGUUGUCUGGCCUCUCUCUCACUUUGAGCUGCUAGCUCCAUUUCCAAUUUUAUGAGCUGGAACUCUCUUUCCCUUUCCUGUUCCUUUGCUCUCUCUUUUUCUCUCUCCCUUUCUCUUUCCUGGACUUCCUUUUCUCCCUCUCUUGAGCUUUUCUCUCUCUCACUCUCUCUUUCUCUCCUGAAAUUCUAGCUGCAAUUUAAGCUUUCCAAGCUCGAAACUGGCUAGGGGAGGGGAUUCGGAGACAUGAUUGAGCUCUACAUCUAACUUCUCUACUGGUAACUUGAGAUCCAAACAUUCUACCAACGACUGGAUCAGUUCAUUUCUUUUGAUCUUGCUGGGCAAUUUUAAC
Molecule: long non-coding RNA, 2512 nt
Organism: Carcharodon carcharias (great white shark)
Lineage: Eukaryota; Metazoa; Chordata; Chondrichthyes; Lamniformes; Lamnidae
Exons: 3
Source: RefSeq, a predicted model, not a curated record